This 460-nucleotide ribosomal RNA is filed under the name uncultured bacterium. Its description in RNAcentral is "partial 16S ribosomal RNA". It matches the Rfam family "Bacterial small subunit ribosomal RNA", at positions 338 to 795 of the family's 1533-position model. The record is from RNAcentral.
CCUACGGGUGGCAGCAGUGAGGAAUAUUGGUCAAUGGGCGCGAGCCUGAACCAGCCAAGUCGCGUGAAGGAUGACUGCCCUACGGGUUGUAAACUUCUUUUAUAAGGGAAUAAAGUGAGGCACGUGUGCCUUUUUGUGUGUACUUUAUGAAUAAGGAUCGGCUAACUCCGUGCCAGCAGCCGCGGUAAUACGGAGGAUCCGAGCGUUAUCCGGAUUUAUUGGGUUUAAAGGGAGCGUAGAUGGGUUGUUAAGUCAGUUGUGAAAGUUUGCGGCUCAACCGUAAAAUUGCAAUUGAUACUGGCAGUCUUGAGUACAGGUGAGGUAGGCGGAAUUCGUGGUGUAGCGGUGAAAUGCUUAGAUAUCACGAAGAACUCCGAUGGCGAAGGCAGCUUACUAAACUGCCACUGACACUGAUGCUCGAAAGUGUGGGGAGCAAACAGGAUUAGAUACCCGUGUAGUC